Molecule: long non-coding RNA, 3282 nt
Filed under: Bos grunniens (domestic yak)
Lineage: Eukaryota; Metazoa; Chordata; Mammalia; Artiodactyla; Bovidae
Description: lncRNA (ENSBGRG00000014053.1)
Source: RNAcentral
AGAUGACCAGCGCGAAAUGUGGACUGCCCCAAGCCUUUGGGACGUGCCUGCGGAGCGGAGCCGGAGCGAGUGUUCUUGGAGAGGUCGUGAACUCAGGCCACCUGGGCUCACGGUCAACUUGUUCUGCGCAGUUCUCAAUGGAGCCCCGGACCCACCGGCUCCUGGCUCGCCUGCUUCCCACCCCCUCUUUUUUGCUGCUCCUCUCUCUUUUAAAUGUGUGAAGUUGAAGUGGAAAGCAGAUAGGUGCUUCGUAUACUUUGGCGGAAUAUUUGAAGCGGGAUCACUGUGCAUGCCCAAAUGAAUGUUCCCCUAGCAGUGCCACCUUGUGCGAAUGUGAUUGCAUGUUGUUUGCUAUUGUUUAUGUCUUCAUUUAAAACGUAGUGUGCAGACCUAAGGGCGUGGCUGGACUAAGCAUUUUCCAGAUUUCACACCAAAACCUUUUUCUGGUGGACUCAUACAUAUUAUUUCCAAGAUUGUCUCAGACUUUGGAUUGUUUCAGACGUACAGUCAAAAGUGGGAGCUAAAAGCUGUGGUCAUCAGUAUUGCUGAUCCUGUUCUUACGGUGCACACUGUUUGUUGAAUCGGUGGUGGACAAGGUGCAAGUGGGGAAGCCGGAAGAAAACGCCAGGAGCCACAGGAACUGCAGACGCUGCCUUCUCUCCUGGCUGGCACAGCAGCUGUGGUGGCGGACACGGUAUAUUCUCUCCUCCUGUGGCAGACCCAGCGGGCACAGCCGUGGCAGUAAUGUUGCCGCCUCUUAGGUGGAGCUCACGUAUCUGUCCAGCACAGAGUAGCCCGUGAUCAAGUGAGCAAGUGCCUCCUGGCGGGCACGCGCAGUGCUGUGAAUGAUCUCAGCUGUUACAUAACCAUUAUUUACAAAACGUGGGGCGAGAGAGCCUGGACACAACAUCUUGGCUAAUUCACGUCCUCAUGAGAAUGUCAAAGGUGCUCCUGUCUUUGAACCCCAGUGUUCCAGCAGACUGAGUGAUGUACUAAAGAGACAAGGAAGCUGGAGGAACUAUGAAGUGCGUGCUUGGCCAUGACCUAGGCUUGUAGCAAUGAUCUUGGCUUUUAGGAGAACAGAAGUAGAGCACAUUGGACCAUGGGCCCCAGUGAUGCAGCACUGCGCCAUCUGACUUUUUUUUAAAUGUCUAUUCAGGUCCUCUGGCCACUUUUUAUUUUACAAUUUGUUUAUUCUUUCAACAGUGCUGGGUCUUCAUUGCGGCAUGUGGACGUCUCUCGUUGCAAAGCAGGGGCUCAGUAGUUGCCGUACAUAGACUCUGUUGCCCCGUGGCAUGUAGGAUCUUAGUUCCUUGACCAGGGUUCAAACUUGCAUCCUUUAUGUUGGGAGGGGGAUUCUUAACCACUGGACCACCGGGGAAGUCCCUGCCAUCUGAUUUUAAGAGCAAUGCCCUGGGGGUUCACCGGAAACUUUUUGGGCUGGCCGGGUCACUGGGAACAGAAAUGGUAGAAGAGACAGCGGUGCUCUGUGCUCGGCGGGGGAGUGCCUGACGCCCUCCUUGGCUCUGUCGUGUUGCUGCUUCUCUGCUACAGAGAAGACGUGACCUCAACAGGUUCCAGUGGGUGUGGGAAAGCCUACCCUUCUUCUUUAGUUCACUGGGCUUCGUAAUUCUUCAUUCUAGCCCUCACAUGGAAUGUAUGGUCUAUAUCAGAUUUUAGGAUUUCUUUAUACUUUCUUAUCUUAUUCUCAAGUUAUUUCUCAUUCUAUGUUAAAAUUUCCUGAAAAUUCACUGUCUUUUUCUUUUUUUUCCUAAUCACUCCAAUUGCAGCCUCACACUUGUCCAACAUAAUAUCUGGCCGGGCCUCCACCUCUAAGACUAGUUCUUACACUUAUAGCUGGAUGCAAGCCGUUAGAGUGAACACCAUCCUUGUGCAAGAGAAAACUGGCUUUGGACACAUUCUGCAAUUAUACAUUUUCAACUUAGAGCUCCAUGCUGUUUGUUAAAAGCCCUCUUUGGGGGAAUUAUAAAGUGCCUAAACCUUAUGAUUUUGGAACAAAAAUAUAGAACAGGACAGUGUUUCCGUGCCUUGAAAUCAGAACUGCAUCCCCAUUCUCUAAACUUCACUUUUCCUCUACAAGCAUCCUGACCACAUGUGUGUCUUUCAACCAAAUCAGUUGUGAGAUGAAUUGGAAGAGAGCAUGGAAUCCUUUUCUGAGUCUAGGUUUCUGGUCUUAAAUGUACUUUAAACUACUCCCCGCUUGUAUAACUUAUCUUUUCCACACGUGUGAAUAGAGUGAAACCAAGAUGGGCGUCUCUUCCUGCAUUUUGGCUCUCACUUGGUCUGAGAAAAGAGAAACUGGCCCUGGAUGGUUCACACAUCUCAUCAACUUUUUCCAGAGUGGCUCCUGCUGCCUGAGUUGGUGACAGCCUCCCUGGACAUGAUCCAUUCCACCCUCUCCUUCAUCCCUUUGUGCAGCUGCUGCGUUUUCCUCCAAGAUUCCGUGUCUGCAUUCUGGCAUCUGCUCAGCAGCUGGGAGAAAUCCCCAUGGGAUAACGCAAAGGACCACUUGGUUAGGAAACCCCUGGAAGGUGAGGAUGCUUUAAUGGGUCAGGUCCUGGAUCACGUUUAUGAAAUGCCCUCGUAAUGUCAUGAGGCUGCACUCCUUUCCAAGGCCCAGAGGCAACUUCAAGAUGUGCGGACACUCAGGAGGCCAUGUCCGUUUGUUUUCCAAGUUUGUUUAGCUCAUUGGUGACAUCAUAAAAUCACUGUCACCUAGGCAAUGGAGCACGUUGCUAUGGGAACCUCAAAGCUGAUAACACUGCUUUAAAAUGUUGACAGUUGGAAAAGCCUCCUUUUUCCUAUGCUCACACCAAUAGAGAUGCAUGUUUGGGGGAUGUUUGGCUUAAAUAUUAACAUUUAAAGUUUGAUAAUUUAAAGUACUUGGAGACAAAUAAUUUGUGACACUUAAAAUAUUUAGAAUACUGAAAAUAUGGGGAGAGUAUUACCAUCGAGAUGCAUGAAAAGAAGCCCUGUGUGCUGGAACUCUCACAGGCCUGGUGAAGUCAGAGUUGUUAUAAGGAAGACAUAAAGUCUCCCUGCAGAGCUGAGGGCAGCACACACAUGACACAUUUCUCUCACGUCCUGUCCUGGAUUCAGGCCACAGAUGAAUGAUUUACGCAGACUCAGCACGCUUCUUUUCUAUUUCACUUCCCAUCUCCUGAGGUUUCCUGGUUUAUUGGUUUAUGUAAUUUAUUGAAUCAUGACAGGCGCCUUUCAUGAAACCAUGACCCGAGUUACAAGCCAUAUCUUCCCACACAU